RNAcentral lists this ribosomal RNA (462 nucleotides) under uncultured bacterium. RNAcentral describes it as "bacterial SSU rRNA". It matches the Rfam family "Bacterial small subunit ribosomal RNA", at positions 29 to 506 of the family's 1533-position model. The record is from RNAcentral.
ACGAACGCUGGCGGCGCGCCUCAUACAUGCAAGUCGAACGUGAAGCUCGGAGCUUGCUCCGGGUGGAAAGUGGCGAACGGGUGAGUAACACGUGAGAAACCUGCCCCGAAGACCGGAAUAACACCGGGAAACCGGUGCUAAUACCGGAUGCCCUCAUUGGAUCGCAUGGUCCGAUGAGGAAAUGGAUUCCGCUUCGGGAUGGUCUCGCGGCCUAUCAGCUUGUUGGCGGGGUAACGGCCCACCAAGGCUUCGACGGGUAGCUGGUCUGAGAGGAUGUCCAGCCACACUGGGACUGAGACACGGCCCAGACUCCUACGGGAGGCAGCAGUAGGGAAUCUUGCACAAUGGACGAAAGUCUGAUGCAGCGACGCCGCGUGCGGGAUGACGGCCUUCGGGUUGUAAACCGCUUUCAGCAGGGACGAUAUUGACGGUACCUGCAGAAGAAGCCCCGGCUAACUACGU